This is a long non-coding RNA of Eucalyptus grandis, 704 nucleotides long. RefSeq lists it as uncharacterized. The record is from RefSeq and is a predicted model, not a curated record. The transcript has 2 exons. Lineage: Eukaryota; Viridiplantae; Streptophyta; Magnoliopsida; Myrtales; Myrtaceae.
GCGAUCACCAUUGCUGCAAAAUUAGGAUAUUGGAAUCACGAUGGACGCUGUCUCCCUUGCGUGAUGCCCCCGCCAAACACUCGCUUAAAGCAGAGCAUAUAAAACAAGAUAAAGCCACCUAAUCCCGUCCUUCGCGCGUCCCAUUCGAGCGUUUUCAGUAUUCUCUCCAAUAGCGCAGAGACAAAAAGAAGUGACGCAGCCGACUGACUUUUGGAUUGUACCCAUUUGAAAAAUGCACAGCAAUUGAUUUGUUGAAGGCUGGUGCUACUGUGAUUUUGCGCAAUGCAAAGAUGGAUAUGUUCAAGGGUUCAAUGAGGCUAGCAGUUGAUAAAUGGGGCCGUGUCGAAGUCACAGAACCUGCAGAUUUCACAGUAAAGGAGGACUGUCUCUCCAUGAUUGAAUAUGAGCUGGUAAAUGUUGCGGACGAGUAGUUGAUAUCCGAUUGCAGCAUCGUCAUACUUUAAGAAUUUCUUAGGUUGUUAUAGUCAGUUUCUUAUUAUAGUUUCCUGAUAUAUCUACUUUUAUGUCCGAGAUUCUACUUUUGACAAUGAUGGAGUGGGAAGGUUUCUAAUUUCCAGGGUCUAGAUUUGGAUUUUACUACUGAAUCCUUCCUUCUAUACAUCACUCUGCAUUAUGAUCGAUGCUGUAUAAUGCUAGCCCGAAUUUUCAUGCUCAAUAUCAACGUGGUAAAUACAUUUCUGUGA